This 2903-nucleotide ribosomal RNA is filed under the name Clostridium perfringens. RNAcentral describes it as "bacterial LSU rRNA". It matches the Rfam family "Bacterial large subunit ribosomal RNA". RNAcentral also lists the same sequence under 1 other name. The record is from RNAcentral. Lineage: Bacteria; Bacillati; Bacillota; Clostridia; Eubacteriales; Clostridiaceae.
UCAAGCUACAAAGGGCGCAUGGUGAAUGCCUUGGCAUCAGGAGCCGAUGAAGGACGUGAUAAGCUGCGAUAAGCUUCGGGUAGGCGCACAUAGCCUGAGAUCCGAAGAUCUCCGAAUGAGGAAACUCACAUGGGAAACCCCAUGUAUCAUUAAGUGAAUACAUAGCUUAAUGAAGGUAACCCAGGGAACUGAAACAUCUAAGUACCUGGAGGAAGAGAAAGAAAAAUCGAUUUUCUUAGUAGCGGCGAGCGAAAGGGAAAGAGCCCAAACCGGAAACUUGUUUCCGGGGUUGUGGACAUAGCAUAAAAGUGGAGGCUAUUGUAACUGAAGAGAACUGGAAAGUUCCACCGUAGAAGGUAAUAGUCCUGUAAGUGAAACGAGAAGACCACGAGUUAUGAUCCAGAGUACCACGAGACACGUGAAACCUUGUGGGAAGCAGGGAGGACCACCUCCCAAGGCUAAAUACUACCUGAUGACCGAUAGUGAAGCAGUACCGUGAGGGAAAGGUGAAAAGAACCCCGGGAGGGGAGUGAAAUAGAACCUGAAACCGUGUGCCUACAACCGCUCAGAGCCCCUUAUGAGGGUGAUGAGGUGCUUUUUGUAGAACGAGCCAACGAGUUACGGUAUGUAGCAAGGUUAAGUACUUAAGGUACGGAGCCGAAGGGAAACCGAGUCUGAAUAGGGCGACUAGUUGCAUGCCGUAGACCCGAAACCGGGUGACCUAUCCAUGGCCAGGUUGAAGCGAGGGUAAAACCUCGUGGAGGACCGAACCACGUUGCUGUUGAAAAAGCAUGGGAUGAGCUGUGGAUAGCGGAGAAAUUCCAAUCGAACCCGGAGAUAGCUGGUUCUCUCCGAAAUAGCUUUAGGGCUAGCGUCGAGUAUGAGUAGUGGAGGUAGAGCACUGAAUGGGCUAGGGGGCAUAGCGCUUACCGAACCUUAUCAAACUCCGAAUGCCACAUACUUUGAGCUCGGCAGUCAGACUACGAAUGAUAAGAUCCGUGGUCAAAAGGGAAACAGCCCAGAUCGUCAGCUAAGGUCCCAAAGUGUAAGUUAAGUGGGAAAGGAUGUGAGAUUUCUAAGACAACUAGGAUGUUGGCUUAGAAGCAGCCAUUCAUUAAAAGAGUGCGUAAUAGCUCACUAGUCGAGAGAUCUUGCGCCGAAAAUGUAACGGGGCUAAACUUACCACCGAAGCUACGGGCUUGAACUUAGUUCAAGCGGUAGGAGAGCGUCGUAACCGGGCUGAAGUCGUACCGUAAGGAGCGGUGGACUGGUUACGAGUGAGAAUGUUGGCAUCAGUAGCGAGAUGUGGGUGAGAAUCCCACAGGCCGAAAACCUAAGGUUUCCUCAGGAAGGUUCGUCCGCUGAGGGUUAGUCGGGACCUAAGCCGAGGCCGAAAGGCGUAGGUGAUGGACAACUGGUUGAUAUUCCAGUACCACUACCAUCGUUAUUAUCGAUGGCGUGACGCAGGAGGAUAGUGUGUGCUAGCUAUUGGAUGCUAGUCUAAGCGUUUAGGCAGUGAGAGUAGGCAAAUCCGCUCUCAUAAUGCUGAGGCGUGAUGGGGAAGGUUCUACGGAACCGAAGUACAUGAUUCCACGCUGCCAAGAAAAGCGUCUAGAGAGAGAAGUAGUGCCCGUACCGCAAACCGACACAGGUAGGUGAGGAGAGAAUCCUAAGGCCGGCGGAAGAAUUACAGUUAAGGAACUCGGCAAAUUGACCCCGUAAGUUCGCGAGAAGGGGUGCCUACGAGAGUAGGCCGCAGAGAAUAGGCCCAAGCAACUGUUUAGCAAAAACACAGGUCUCUGCUAAAGCGUAAGCUGAUGUAUAGGGGCUGACGCCUGCCCGGUGCUGGAAGGUUAAGGGGAACACUUAGCGCAAGCGAAGGUGUGAACUUAAGCCCCAGUAAACGGCGGCCGUAACUAUAACGGUCCUAAGGUAGCGAAAUUCCUUGUCAGGUAAGUUCUGACCCGCACGAAUGGCGUAAUGACUUGGGCACUGUCUCAACUGUAAAUCCGGCGAAGUUGUAGUGCGAGUGAAGAUGCUCGCUACCCGCGAUUGGACGGAAAGACCCCGUAGAGCUUUACUGUAGCUUAGCAUUGAGUUUUGGUAUUGUCUGUACAGGAUAGGUGGGAGACUAGGAAACCAGGGCGUCAGCCUUGGUGGAGUCAACCUUGGGAUACCACCCUGACAGUACUGAAAUUCUAACUGGCGGCCAUGAAUCUGGUCACAGGACAUUGUUAGGUGGGCAGUUUGACUGGGGCGGUCGCCUCCUAAAAAGUAACGGAGGCGCCCAAAGGUUCCCUCAGAACGGUCGGAAAUCGUUCGAAGAGUGCAAAGGCAGAAGGGAGCCUGACUGCGACACCCACAAGUGGAGCAGGGACGAAAGUCGGGCUUAGUGAUCCGGUGGUACCUCGUGGGAGGGCCAUCGCUCAACGGAUAAAAGCUACCUCGGGGAUAACAGGCUGAUCUCCCCCAAGAGUCCACAUCGACGGGGAGGUUUGGCACCUCGAUGUCGGCUCGUCGCAUCCUGGGGCUGAAGUAGGUCCCAAGGGUUGGGCUGUUCGCCCAUUAAAGCGGCACGCGAGCUGGGUUCAGAACGUCGUGAGACAGUUCGGUCCCUAUCCGUCGCGGGCGUAGGAAAUUUGAGAGGAGCUGUCCUUAGUACGAGAGGACCGGGAUGGACUGACCUCUGGUGUACCAGUUGUUCCGCCAGGAGCACAGCUGGGUAGCUAAGUCGGGAAUGGAUAAACGCUGAAAGCAUCUAAGCGUGAAGCCAACCUCAAGAUGAGAUUUCCCAUAGCGUAAGCUAGUAAGAUCCCUUGAAGAACACAAGGUUGAUAGGUCGGGGGUGUAAGCAUGGUAACAUGUUCAGCUGACCGAUACUAAUAGAUCGAGGGCUUGACCAA